This 825-nucleotide unclassified non-coding RNA is filed under the name Hevea brasiliensis (rubber tree). Lineage: Eukaryota; Viridiplantae; Streptophyta; Magnoliopsida; Malpighiales; Euphorbiaceae. The record is from RNAcentral.
AUCCAGUUGCUCCAGAACAUAUUGAAGUCGACUGAAUUGCUGUUUCCUCCAAGUGCAAAAAAUUUAAGUCCUAGCUGCAUAGAUUUGUGUAAAAGAUUGUUGCGCCGUUAUCCAGUGGAGCGGUUGACAUUUGAAGAGUUCUUUAACCACCCAUUUCUUGCACAGAAGCAGCCAGAUGAGCUGUCUUGGGAUACGAGACCUCAAAGGGUAAUAGGUGGUUUUCCUAUAUCAGAAGGCUAUCCUGCGAGGGGCUCAGAGGAAACUUUUCAAGAAGAUGGUUUACCCUUUAGUCUAGAUGAUUAUUCCAGCGGUCCUUCAUUUACUGGGAGAUCACCACAGAGGUUGUCAUAUGGUUUUUCUUGUGAUGCAAAAGCUGAAAGGAAAGAAGUUACUAGUAGUACCCAACAGAAAACAGAUGGUAUUGGCUCUAGCCACCGACAUUCAGAAGGAAACCUGAAGGAAUCUAUUAAUUUGAAGGACCACAGACAAACAACUACUCGUUCAAAAGUGGUGGAUUCAUUCGAGUUGAUUGAUCAGGACUAUGUUAUUGUUUCCGGCCCUCCAGUGGAUUCAUAUUCUUCAAUAGGUGCUUCUAGGCUUUGCAAUAUGCCUUUCAGAUCAAGCUGUUCCCUGCAAGCGUCUGCGAGAGUAGAUCCUAGACCAAGUGACCCGGUGCCUAUUAGUGGUCCUCCUCUUAGUAGAAUAGGUCAUUUAGGAAGUUCGGAAAGUCCCUCAUCUGCACCUGGAGCUUCACAAGUAUGCACUGAUGUCAUAAAUUGCUUGGAGCAGUCACCACCUGAUGGCAUGGCCAGAAUAGAGUCCCUG